UUAGUCAAUGCUCGCAAGAGUGAACUAGCUAACUGAAAUCAAACUUGUGUCAAGUAUGAUAACGUAAGGGAAGAUAAUGACAUUACCUUACUAUUAGUGUUGUCCAAAACUGGUGCCAGAAGACUCGGUAAGGCCAGAGACGCAAACGUUAAUCGUCUUAAUCAGGCGUAAAGGGUGUGUAGGCAGCUUUAAAAUUUGUCUUUAUUACUUAAAUUCUUUUGCUUUUUAUAAUUAAAAAGUCUAAACUUAUUUAAUGUAGACUAAUUAAUUCGUUUUAGAUAUGAAUUUAUAAUCUAAUAUAACUAAAAUUGCUUUAGUUAAAAAAAGAAUAAACUGAUAAUGAUAAAUUAUUUAGUUAUUAAGAAUUAAUUAAAGUAGAGAUAAAAUUAAUAAAAGCUAGAAUCAAAUAGAGGAUAUUUAAAUAAUACUUAGAGGAGGGGUGAUAUCCUUAGAUACUAAGUAGAAUAUUAAUGGUGAAAGCUUUUAUCUACUAAUGAUUGACGCUGAGAAACGAAGGUGAGGAUAGGAAAUAGGAUUAGAUACCCAGAUACCCCUCUCUGUCAACGAUGAAUGGUGGUUGCUAAUUAUAUAAAUUAAUUGGUGGCGAUGUUAACACGAUAACCAUUCCGCCAUGUGAGUACGACUGCAAAGUUGAAAACAAAAAAAUUAGUCGGUCUCGAAGCAAACGAAGUGAAGCAUGUUAUUUAAU
RNAcentral lists this ribosomal RNA (709 nucleotides) under Pseudotomentella sp. Its description in RNAcentral is "partial small subunit ribosomal RNA". It matches the Rfam family "Bacterial small subunit ribosomal RNA", at positions 364 to 950 of the family's 1533-position model. The record is from RNAcentral. Lineage: Eukaryota; Fungi; Basidiomycota; Agaricomycetes; Thelephorales; Thelephoraceae.